GGGGGAUUCAAGAAUUCCAUAAUCAUCGUUACGAAUCACAAAAACCUAAUCUCACAUUUCUCAAGACAAUUAAAACCCCGCAACCACUAUUAAUCUUCUCUUUUAUUUCUUUUUCUAAUAAAUUAUGCUAAUUACCGAGUUGAACAACAUCCACUGUGGAGACAAUAACAUACUAUUUUUUUUACUUAAUAUGAUUGGACGCACUUGUCUAUUUCGUCCAUCAGGUACAUUUCUCAAUCAUCGCAUGUACAAAAUCCUCUAUCGUAUUCAAGAAAUAAAAAAUCUGGCUUUG
This 292-nucleotide long non-coding RNA is filed under the name Medicago truncatula (barrel medic). RNAcentral's name for it is "lncRNA gene16313". Lineage: Eukaryota; Viridiplantae; Streptophyta; Magnoliopsida; Fabales; Fabaceae. The record is from RNAcentral.